AGGGAUUAGUUAAAUAAAUAACAUUAGAAUGUCAAACUAAAAUUACUUACCUUUAGGUAUCUCU
Molecule: transfer RNA, 64 nt
Filed under: Coeliccia cyanomelas
Lineage: Eukaryota; Metazoa; Arthropoda; Insecta; Odonata; Platycnemididae
Description: tRNA-Asp
Source: RNAcentral